CUCUUAACUAAGUACCUAUAUUAUAACGUUGCAUCUGGUGCCGUUUAGUACAGUAUUCCUACAUGUGUAAAGCACACGCAUAAAAUUAUUGUGAUUUUGUUUCUGAUAAUUUCUUAAGUGCAAGCAACUUUGGUUCCUGUGAUUUCGUCCAAAACCAAACUACUACCUACUCCAAUUUUCGGAUGAUUUGAGAAACUUCAAUUCAGCAAUCUAGUAACUUUGCACGAGCUCUGCGAUAAAGUCCAGAACCUUCUUGAGAACCAUCCUUGACCGAGCCUCGAAGCUUAACACGCAUUUUUAAAAAUAACUACCACAUACCUUGACCGAGCUUCGAAGCUUAACACGCAUUUUUAAAAGGAACCACCGUUUAACUUGACCGAGCUUCGAAGCUUAACACGCAUUUUUUAAAGGAACCAUCAUAUACGUUGACCGAGCUUCGAAGCAUAACACGCAUUUUUUAAAGGAACCAUCAUAUACGUUGACCGAGCUUCGAAGCUUAACACGCAUUUUUAAAAAGAACUACCACAUACCUUGACCGAGCUUCGAAGCUUAACACGCAUUUUUGAAAAUCGAAUUCAAGAAAAUGUGGAGUGGAGUACUAGAUACGACAGCAGUGGGUAGUACGGCGCUCAAUCCUGUAAAUGGUGACAACAGGAACAACCCAAUGUCUGUACUCAGUCAGACUACUUCAGUGGGCGUUAGAGGCAAUAUAGGCGGGAUGGUGGGUCCAAUUGGCAUUGCUGCUGGCGGAGAGUUGGCUUUCUCUGUUACUGACACUGUAGUGACGCAGGGGCAACGAGAUAGUGCUGUACCCAGAGGAAUACAGGGUGCUGUUGCCAGUGUAAUUAGAGCCAGUAGAUAAAUUAAUGUGACCAAAAUAAAAUGUUGUAUAAUGAUUGCUCGUAAAAUGGCUCUUACUUCACCGCUGUUAAAACUAUAAGAAAGAAGACUUUUACACCCUUGAGCAGUAAAAACAUUCAUUAUCAGUAUCGUCAAAACUGUAACUGGACGAUUUGUUUACAUAAAUCGGGGCAAACAUCGAUAAAUCAUGUUUUAUUGGAAUUUUCGUCUGUCUAUCUCUCUGUGCUUUCUGUCUGUCUCUUUGUAUGUCUCUCUGUCUGUCACUCUGUCUAUCUCCUGUCUGUCUCUCCGUCUGUUUGUCUAUCUGUCUGUGCGCGUAUCAUACUAAAACUAGCGAACGGAUUUAAAUUAUAUUUGGUACAGUAGUAGCUGAUAUUCCGGGUUAACAUAUAGGGUAGGUAGUAUUUAUCCCGAAAAAUAUUUGGGAUGAUUCUUCGGGAUACGGGAUCAAAUUUUUUAUGGAUUUUAUUACAUCAACCAAUUUUCACAAUUCCUUUACAAAAAGACUUCUCACACGCCAUUCAAAAUAAUUAUAUCUCUAUGGAAUUUCCAAAAAAGUUAAUCCAUUGUUCGCUGAUAGUUUGACUUUAAUAUCAAGUUAUUAUAUAUUUUUUUUUACUCACAAGUAGUAGGCACUUACUUGAUAUUUUUAAUUUUUCUUGUAUAAAGUAUGUAGAUGCUUACUUGGAUUUAGUUAAAGUUAAGUGUAAAUGUUAAUAGUAAAAAGUUGUAGCUUCUGUUUUUUUGCAAAAAAUAAAAAUUAUAUAUUACUUUUAGUAUUUAUAUAUUACGUUAGUGCAUAUAUGAUAGGUUAUUUUCAUUCAUAAGUGAAUUUGUAUAUUUUAUUUUUAUAGUCAUAAUUGUAUGGAAGUUGUUCAUUCGUUUAUUAAACGAAUUGAGAAUUAUUGUAAUUAUGUUAAAUUUAUUAUUGUCAGUAAGUAAAUAAAUAUUAUAUUGUUGA
Long non-coding RNA from Maniola jurtina (meadow brown), 1822 nucleotides. RefSeq lists it as uncharacterized. The record is from RefSeq and is a predicted model, not a curated record. The transcript has 3 exons. Lineage: Eukaryota; Metazoa; Arthropoda; Insecta; Lepidoptera; Nymphalidae.